CAAUAGCGUAUAUUAAAGUUGUUGCAGUUAAAAAGCUCGUAGUUGAAGAUACGAACGCUUACACUCGAACAAAGUUUCCGGUGUCUGCGUUCACUUUUCGCAAAGACAGCCUGGCCCAUUAGUUUGGGUCUUGUUUGAGUUGCGUCAUUUACUGUGAACAAAUUAGGGUGUUUAAAGCAGGCCUACGUUUGAAUACACUAGCAUGGAAUAAUAAGAUAUGAUCUUGGUCGUAUUUUGUUGGUGACUACCAAGAUAAUGAUUGAUAGAAACUGUUGUGGGUAUUCGUAUGAGCAUGUCAGAGGUGAAAUUCUUGGAUUUUGAUCAGACGAACUACUGCGAAAGUAUUUACCAAGGAUGUUUUCAUUAA
Molecule: ribosomal RNA, 367 nt
Filed under: uncultured eukaryote
Lineage: Eukaryota
Description: partial 18S ribosomal RNA
Rfam family: Eukaryotic small subunit ribosomal RNA
Source: RNAcentral